GAUACAAGGAAGAAGGAUGGAAAGAGGAAAAGGAUCGUGGAGGGUGAUUCUGUUAAGAACUUGAAGAAGUUUGUUGUGGAGAGCAAGGGGAAGGGAAAGGGGAAGGAUGUAGGUAAUAAAUCGAGUAAGAAUGAGAGCAGUUUGGUGAUACAUAGUGAUAUCAAACAUUCCGAAGUGCAAUUAGAUUCUGAUUUUGAUGUCCCUGUCAAGAAUGAAGCUCAAGUGCUUAUCCAGAAGAUAAUUCCAACUCAACGAAUUUUAAAGGUGUGUUAAUUUAAAUGUUGUUAUUGUUUACUGUACAAUGCUUAAUUGGUUACUGCCUAAUAUUAAUGAUUAAUGCUUGGUAACCACAUGAUUGGUAACCAAUGCAUUAGACAAUAACCACCAUGUUGCAUGAAGGUAACCAAAACUGACUUGGGUAGUCUUAUGAUGUCUUGGUUACUGUCUAAUGAUGUCUUGGUUACUAUCUUAUGAGUGUCUUGGUUACUGUCUAAUGAUGUCUUGGUUACUGUCUAAUGAUGUCUUGGUUACUGUCUUAUGAGUGUCUUGAUUACUGUCUAAUGAUGUCUUGGUUACCGUCUAAUGAUUUCUUGGUUACUGUCUUAUGUGUGUCUUGGUUACUGUCUAAUGAUGUCUUGAUUACUGUCUUAUGAUGUCUUGGUUACUGUUUAAUGAUGUCUUGGUUAUUGUCUAACCAAUAUAUUGUCUAAAGCUGUAUUGGUUACUGUGCAACAUUGUAUUGAUUACUGUAUAAUGCUAAAUGGGUUACUGACUAAUGCUGUUUUGGUUACUGCAUAAUAUUUUUGACUAAUGAUUGGUAAGCACAUGGUUGGUAACCAAUGUAUUAGAUAAUAACCAGCAUGUUGCAUAAAGGUAACCAAGACAACAUUAAUAAGUAACCAAUUUACAUUGGUUACCUUCUUGCAACAUGUUGUUUACUGUAUAAUGUUGUCUUGGUUACUGUCUAAUGAUUUAUUGGUUGUUGUCUAACUAUUAUAUUGUGUAAUGAUGUCUUGGUUAUUGUCUAAUGCUGGAUUGGUUACUGAUUAAUGAUGUUUUGUUUACUGACUAAAGCUAUAUUGGUUACUUGUCUAUGUUAUUUUGGUUACUAUCAUAUGAUUGGUUGGUUAACUUUGUAAAUCUGAUUUUGUUUACUUGCAGUUAUGGGAUCUUUAUUACGA
This 1181-nucleotide long non-coding RNA is filed under the name Panax ginseng (ginseng). Its description in RNAcentral is "long non-coding RNA (PGIN_LNC014865)". Lineage: Eukaryota; Viridiplantae; Streptophyta; Magnoliopsida; Apiales; Araliaceae. The record is from RNAcentral.